Molecule: ribosomal RNA, 447 nt
Filed under: uncultured bacterium
Lineage: Bacteria
Description: bacterial SSU rRNA
Rfam family: Bacterial small subunit ribosomal RNA
Source: RNAcentral
UGGGGAAUAUUGGACAAUGGGCGAAAGCCUGAUCCAGCAAUGCCGCGUGAGUGAUGAAGGCCUUAGGGUUGUAAAGCUCUUUUACCAGGGAUGAUAAUGACAGUACCUGGAGAAUAAGCUCCGGCUAACUCCGUGCCAGCAGCCGCGGUAAUACGGAGGGAGCUAGCGUUGUUCGGAAUUACUGGGCGUAAAGCGUACGUAGGCGGUGACUCAAGUCAGAGGUGAAAGCCUGGAGCUCAACUCCAGAACUGCCUUUGAAACUAGGUCGCUAGAAUCACGGAGAGGUGAGUGGAAUUCCGAGUGUAGAGGUGAAAUUCGUAGAUAUUGGGAAGAACACCAGUGGCGAAGGCGGCUAACUGGUCCGGUACUGACGCUGAGGUGCGAAAGCGUGGGGAGCAAACAGGAUUAGAUACCCCUGUAGUCCCUGAGCGGGCUGGCAAGGCGCAU